This 642-nucleotide ribosomal RNA is filed under the name uncultured Ascomycota. RNAcentral describes it as "partial 18S ribosomal RNA". The stretch from base 233 to 386 matches the Rfam family "5.8S ribosomal RNA". Lineage: Eukaryota; Fungi; Ascomycota. The record is from RNAcentral.
GGAAGUAAAAGUCGUAAACAAGGUCUCCGUUGGUGAACCAGCGGAGGGAUCAUUACCGAGUUUACAACUCCCAAACCCAUGUGAACAUACCUUACAGUUGCUUCGGCGGAGCCACCCCGGCGCCCGGAACCCAGUUUCGCGGCCCGGACCAAGGCGCCCGCCGGAGGCCACAAACUCUUCUGUUUUUACAGUAUCUUCUGAGUGUGCCGCAAGGCAAAAACAAAUGAAUCAAAACUUUCAACAACGGAUCUCUUGGUUCUGGCAUCGAUGAAGAACGCAGCGAAAUGCGAUAAGUAAUGUGAAUUGCAGAAUUCAGUGAAUCAUCGAGUCUUUGAGCGCACAUUGCGCCCGCCAGAAUUCUGGCGGGCAUGCCUGUUCGAGCGUCAUCUCAACCCUCGGUCUCCCUCCGGGAGAGACCGGCGUUGGGGACCGGCACUUACCCCGCCAGCCCCGAAAUGAAGAGGCGGCCCGUCCGCGGCGACCUCUGCGUAGUAACUCCACUCGCACCGGGACCCAGGCGCGGCCACGCCGUAAAACCCCCAACUUCCGAAUGUUGACCUCGAAUCAGGUAGGAAUACCCGCUGAACUUAAGCAUAUCAAUAAGCGGAGGAAAAGAAGCCAACAGGGAUUGCCCUAGUAACG